RNAcentral lists this long non-coding RNA (1545 nucleotides) under Solanum tuberosum (potato). Its description in RNAcentral is "long non-coding RNA (STUB_LNC004899)". Lineage: Eukaryota; Viridiplantae; Streptophyta; Magnoliopsida; Solanales; Solanaceae. The record is from RNAcentral.
CAAGGAAUGACUCAUGAAUUCUCCACAUCAGCUAAUCCUAUUGUUCGGCAGGUAAUGAUGGUCAUGGUUAGGUUUCGACGUUUCGUUUCUGUAAAACUGAAAUGUUAAUUUCUUAUGUUACAAGCAAGGAGUAGGAUACAACAGUAAAUGCUUACCUGCACCGUGUUUUUUCCCCCACUCAAUCAUUUUAACCUUAGUUAACUAAAAAUUAAAGUAAGAAUGCAUAUCACUUUAUCAUGGUUAAGUUAUAACUUUUGUUUAUGAAAGACACAUAUCUUGCAUUCAUUGGUCGGGCGUAAACGCGCGGUGCAGGUAAGGUCUUACCAGAUGUAACUUACCGUGGCAUCUGAAUCAACCUUCUGUUUAUGAAUUAAUCCUAAUUUUCUUUAAAUUAAAAUCUCGAUAUUUAGAAACUAUACAAGCAUUGUCUCUAACAAAGUACUUCCUCUAUCCCUAAUUACUUGUCCAUUUUUUAAUUGACACACCUAUUAAGAACAAUAAUUGUCAUAGUGAGUUUACCAUUUUACCCCUAUUAAUUAUGAAGUGGAUGAAUUAAAAAUUUAAGAUUUUCAAAAAUUUCUACCUUUUUCAAAGUUAAUUAAUUGAGGGUAUAAUAGGUAAAAAGAAUUUGUCUUUUCUUGAUUUGUCAAAAUGGACAAGUAAUUUUACUUAGGGACAGAGGAGUAGUAAAAAGUAGACAUUUUAAAUAUUACUGAAAUUUCACUAAACAGAAAUUUCAAGCAUAUAGGCAACUGUUGAAUAUUCACUUCUGUCACUACUGAUUUAUUAGAACAAUAAGUAGUUUAGUUGUAGGAUGAGUCUUUAUUUAAAUUCAGUUAGAUAAGUCUAAUUGAGAUAUUACACUCUGCAGAUUUUCUGAUUUCAAGUUGGCUAUUUGAAGCCCUCCCUGCUUUAAUAAAGUAAUAGAGAGAAAAUUUCAUUCACUUUGAAUAUUUAUGAAUAUAGAGAUAAAUCCAUUCCAUGGAAAAUUUACAUGUUUUCUUGUGGUUAUUUAGCUCUUCUGGGUGAAGAUUUUAAAGCAUUGUUUGUUUCAUUGUCUGUCAGUUUGCAUCAGGGAGUUUGGAUGGUCCUAUUAGAUAUUAGCUUCUGCAGCCAAAACAAAUACAAGACAUACUCGUAGGGUUGAUUUUACCUACCAGCUGAACUUGGUGCUUCAAGGCUGACCUUGUCAAAGCAACAAAAGAGAGAUCAAUGCCUAAAGAGUAGUCACACUUGCAGCUCUUAUUUUGCUGAGCCUGCUUACAUGAAUAUGCGUGUCAUAGAAGAAGUUUCUGGUUUUAUUUUACUCUUGUUCUUCCCUCUUAUUUAUUUCACAUUCAUCUUUGUAACCAGCCUCCAUUAUUUUUAGUGCUAGCAACUUGAUAGUAAGGUGUAUCAUGUUGAAAUGAAUUGAUUACCUUACAGUAAGUAAAUUGUGUAACAUACUAAGCAAUUCAUGUAGAAAUGAUUUGUGUUCUUAUUUCAGCUUUGCAAUAGCAACUUUGACCUCUAUUGCCAAAUUGUAUAACAUGAUAGCAUCUUGAU